GGUACACGCUGUGACUAGCAUAUCAAUAAGCGGAGGAAAAGAAACUAACAAGGAUUCCCCUAGUAACGGCGAGUGAAGCGGGAAGAGCUCAAAUUUGAAAUCUUAAAGGGUUUCCCUUUACGAAUUGUAGUUUAAAGAAGUGUUUUCUGUUGAGGUUUUGGUAAAAGUUCUUUGGAAUAGGACAUCAUAGAGGGUGAGAAUCCCGUAUUUGACCUUUACUUUCAACUUUGUGAUACACUUUCAAAGAGUCGGAUUGUUUGGGAAUGCAGUCCAAAAUGGGUGGUAAAUUUCAUCUAAAGCUAAAUAUUGGCGAGAGACCGAUAGCGAACAAGUACCGUGAGGGAAAGAUGAAAAGAACUUUGAAAAGAGAGUUAAACAGUACGUGAAAUUGUCAAAAGGGAAGCGUUUGACACCAGUGUUGUUUUUCUGAAAAUCAAUUAAAGAACUGUAUAUGCUAAGCUGUUUAGACUUUAUCAGCUAAUCUGUUUAGUUUUGAGCUUUUCUUUAAUGCACUUUUCAGUUAACAAGUCAACAUCAAUUUCUUUUGCUGUAAAAAAGCUUGAGGAAGGUGGCUUGAGAUUCGUCUUAAGUGUUUAUAGCCUCUUGCCUAUGCAGUCGGAGAGAUUGAGGUCUGCAGCGUAGAUCCUUCGGGGCUAAAUGCAUUUGUGCUAAGUUAUAACAUUUUAUAGACAACUUGUUGACUAUGAUUUGUCUUGUAGCUUACUCGCUUAUGUUAUUUUACCUACGCUUAGGAUGUUGACGCGCGUGUGUGCGUG
Molecule: ribosomal RNA, 776 nt
Filed under: uncultured Neocallimastigales
Lineage: Eukaryota; Fungi; Neocallimastigomycota; Neocallimastigomycetes; Neocallimastigales
Description: partial large subunit ribosomal RNA
Rfam family: Eukaryotic large subunit ribosomal RNA
Source: RNAcentral